UGGGGAAUAUUGCACAAUGGGCGCAAGCCUGAUGCAGCAACGCCGCGUGAACGAUGAAGGUCUUCGGAUCGUAAAGUUCUGUUGCAGGGGAAGAUAAUGACGGUACCCGGUGAGGAAGCCCCGGCUAACUACGUGCCAGCAGCCGCGGUAAUACGUAGGGGGCUAGCGUUGUCCGGAAUUAUUGGGCGUAAAGCGCGCGCAGGUGGUUUAGAAAGUCUGAUGUGAAAGCCCACGGCUCAACCGUGGAGGGUCAUUGGAAACUAAUAAACUUGAGUGCAGGAGAGAAAGGUGGAAUUCCUAGUGUAGCGGUGAAAUGCGUAGAGAUUAGGAGGAACACCGGUGGCGAAAGCGGCUUUUUGGCCUGCAACUGACACUGAGGAGCGACAGCGUGGGGAGCAAACAGG
RNAcentral lists this ribosomal RNA (404 nucleotides) under Verrucomicrobiota bacterium. RNAcentral describes it as "Verrucomicrobia bacterium partial 16S ribosomal RNA". It matches the Rfam family "Bacterial small subunit ribosomal RNA", at positions 355 to 776 of the family's 1533-position model. The record is from RNAcentral. Lineage: Bacteria; Pseudomonadati; Verrucomicrobiota.